GAUGAACGCUGGCGGCGUGCUUAACACAUGCAAGUCGAACGGGAAACCUUUUAUUGAAGCUUCGGCAGAUUUAGCUGGUUUCUAGUGGCGGACGGGUGAGUAACGCGUGGGUAACCUGCCUUAUACAGGGGGAUAACAACCAGAAAUGGUUGCUAAUACCGCAUAAGCGCACAGGACCGCAUGGUCCGGUGUGAAAAACUCCGGUGGUAUAAGAUGGACCCGCGUUGGAUUAGCUAGUUGGCAGGGUAACGGCCUACCAAGGCGACGAUCCAUAGCCGGCCUGAGAGGGUGAACGGCCACAUUGGGACUGAGACACGGCCCAGACUCCUACGGGAGGCAGCAGUGGGGAAUAUUGCACAAUGGGGGAAACCCUGAUGCAGCGACGCCGCGUGAAGGAAGAAGUAUCUCGGUAUGUAAACUUCUAUCAGCAGGGAAGAUAGUGACGGUACCUGACUAAGAAGCCCCGGCGAACUACGU
Molecule: ribosomal RNA, 477 nt
Filed under: uncultured bacterium
Lineage: Bacteria
Description: partial 16S ribosomal RNA
Rfam family: Bacterial small subunit ribosomal RNA
Source: RNAcentral